UUAACAUGCCAAGUUAUUUGGUUGUCAUUCGUAGGCGCGGUUGUGUUGGUUUCUUGUCGGGGAGAUUAGACAUAGAAUAACGUUGAGUCCAAGACUGGUUCAAUCCUUGACACAAAUACACAGUUAUCCUCUAUCCAAGGAACCUUUCCCAGCUUUUCUUUUCAUUCAUCUGCCUUUGACAUUUUUGGUUAAGAAGAUUACCUGUAUAUGUUAUUGUUGAUAUCAUAUAAUGGCUGAAAGCUAUAGUAAUGCAACUGGAAACUCACCAUAUCAUAUGAUGACUGAAAGCUAUAGUAAUGCUAGUAAUGCAAGUGCAAGCUCAACCUCAAGUUUGAAUAGCAGCCUCCCAGAUACAGAGGAUGACCAAACCAUUGCAAGCAUCUUAGCUGAAGAGGAAAACUCUAAUGUUGCUGGAAAGCUUGGGAAGAGACUCUCUCAUUUGGAUUCCAUCCCAGUAUCUCCCUUUCCAUGUCUAUAUUUUGCCUUUUCCUCUGUUAUCUAAAUACAUACAACUGGAUUUUGCA
Long non-coding RNA from Hevea brasiliensis (rubber tree), 524 nucleotides. RefSeq lists it as uncharacterized. The transcript has 2 exons. NCBI's taxonomy places the organism in Eukaryota, Viridiplantae, Streptophyta, Magnoliopsida, Malpighiales, Euphorbiaceae. The record is from RefSeq and is a predicted model, not a curated record.